GCGGCAGGGCUUAACCCGGUGCAGCCGAGAGGUGGGAUGCUGAAGGACUCGGAGAGGCGGCUGCAACAGGGCAUCCCUCACUGACCAAGUGUAUCCAUUUCUGAGCGCAAAAGGAAGAACUUAAGCGGGCGGCAGUUGGAGUAUACGUUGCUUUGUAGUAUUUAAAAGCAGCAUGGAUCAUGGGCAGCUGAGCUGGUACUGAAGACCUCUCAGCCAUGUUCUUAUUGAGGACUUACCUUCUCCUCAGCACUCUUGAGCUGCCAGCCACUGCUAUAUGGCAGGUAUGCUAUCACCUCACCACAUCAAGACAAAAUCACGGAUUAAAAUAGGGUGAGCUUUUUUUCUACUUCUUCUAAAUCAUAUUCCUCUUCUUGCUGAAUUGAUCUAAGACUUAUGGCAGACACAGAAGAAGAAAUUGUUGACAAUGACUGAGGCCUGUCCUUGGUAUAUUACAUCAAAAUUAAAAAAAAAAAAACCUGGUAAAGUAUCUUUCAAAACAGUAGCCAGGGGCUGGCCGAGUG
Hipposideros armiger (great roundleaf bat) is the source of this 521-nucleotide long non-coding RNA. RefSeq lists it as uncharacterized. The transcript is spliced from 3 exons. Lineage: Eukaryota; Metazoa; Chordata; Mammalia; Chiroptera; Hipposideridae. The record is from RefSeq and is a predicted model, not a curated record.